This 305-nucleotide ribosomal RNA is filed under the name uncultured bacterium. Its description in RNAcentral is "bacterial SSU rRNA". It matches the Rfam family "Bacterial small subunit ribosomal RNA", at positions 334 to 640 of the family's 1533-position model. The record is from RNAcentral.
UAUACCUACGGGGCGCAGCAGUGAGGAAUAUUGGUCAAUGGGCGGGAGCCUGAACCAGCCAAGCCGCGUGAAGGAAGAAGGCGCCAAGCGUCGUAAACUUCUUUUGUCGGGGAACAAAGGGCGCCACGUGUGGCGUUGUGAGUGUACCCGAAGAAAAAGCAUCGGCUAACUCCGUGCCAGCAGCCGCGGUAAUACGGAGGAUGCGAGCGUUAUCCGGAUUUAUUGGGUUUAAAGGGUGCGUAGGCGGUCCGGAAAGUCAGCGGUAAAAGCCCGGGGCUCAACCUCGCUCCGCCGUUGAAACUGGG